UUGUUGCGAGAUGAAUUGGGAGCUCGCUGCUGUCCUAGUCGUAGGCCACCUAGUCUUUGUUGGGCUGCCGCCGAUGGAUGAAAGCAAAGGAUCUUGGGAUCAAGUAGGGACAAGAAGGUAAGCUCGUGACGAGAACAUUAGCUGACAUUAUCGAUGAUGACAUGAAGUCUCUCGUAUUAUCUAGCUAAGGAGGUGGGACCGGGAUAGUCAGAGGCGGCGGGAGCUCCGUGUAGGACCCGGGAAGGGGAAGCGGUCGGAGUUGACGUCGAAGUACCUGCGGCGGCUGGCGGCGCACGAGCGCGCGACCAAGGUCUAGGAACAGUGGUUCCCGCAGCUGCUUGAGCAGAAGCAGUUAGCGGGGAGCGGGGAGCGGGGUAGGGCCGGACGGGGAGGGAAGGAGCGAGAAAUCGACGCGGAGGGAGACGGCCGAGACGUAGCCGCGACAAGGGCUUAUGGCGGCGGGAGGGUGCGCCGCGGCGGAAGGGGUUGGAAGACCUCGAACACGAACUGACGCAGCAGUACCUCCUGUUUCUGGACCUCAAGCACGAGCGGCAUCGGGGCACGACCUCUAGGAGCACCAGCGACCUUCGGCCUUGAGUAACGUUCGAGCGUACUGGUUGGUCUCGGAUGCCACGUGCGUCAAGACGAACAGGUAGGGCCUCCUCCAGCGGCACCACCUGCGGCGUUCGGACCUCGCAGAGAAAGAGACCUCUUUAUCCUCGCUUUACUCGUACUGUCAGUUUCUAACCGGUACGGGGAUUCGACGCACACGACCCUAUGGACCUCGGUCCUCACGUGUAAGACGUCUAGCCGUCGUGGUAGUAGUUCCGACCUUGUUUUCGUUCGCGUACAUGGUUACACAGUUCGCAGGUCUACAACCGAAACGUUGACGUAAAAUCUCUCACGUCAGUUCAGUUCUACGAAGGGUCGAAGGAGUCUACGAAAGGAUUGAACCCCUACGACUAACAGCUCAGAAGAGAACUUUGGUGGUCGUCGGCAUCAGAGUUCAAGACCGUCCUCUGUCCAGGAUAACUCACACAGGUCAGCGUGGAACUCUGAGAACAGAAAGACACUUGAUGUUCCCUAUUAUUGCUCAAACUAAAAGAGAACAAGUAGCACCUCUUACGUGGUUUCGACCUCUCCAACAAGUAGUUUUACUUUGUUCUGCAUUGAAUACGACUCUUCGUUCACCACUGACGGUUUGACUCACCAGAAUCAAGACGAUUAACCCGAUUAUGUCUGACGUUUUACGCUAAGCUCUAGUCAUCGAUAGGAUAACCUCCAUCAAGAACCUCGGAGUUUCUCCCGAGUCUAAACAGAAGACUACUAGGAAAAAGGACGGAGACUUGAGUUUACACGGACGUAUAAAGCCGCGGGUCCUAAAGUGUUCUUCACGUUGAAAAGACAAACGUUACCAAAGCCAACAACCUUAUACACUUCCGACCCGUCUCAAGACAACCUAUCCCAAGAUGAAGAUGAUCGUAUCCAUCGAAAUAAACGAUUUAAAUAUACAUAUUUCAAUCACAUUUCAACUCAGUGAAUAAAACCCGACGACAGUAAUUACAGUAC
RNAcentral lists this ribosomal RNA (1569 nucleotides) under Triticum aestivum (bread wheat). RNAcentral's name for it is "partial small subunit ribosomal RNA". Lineage: Eukaryota; Viridiplantae; Streptophyta; Magnoliopsida; Poales; Poaceae. The record is from RNAcentral.